ACGGCCUUGGGUAGCGAUUUUAAUAAACAACACUGUUAUCAAGCUUCAAGACCCUGUGUGCCCCUCUCCAAGCCUAGUCACAGAGCAUCUUUGUGGUUUUGGUAGUAUCGCAAACUUAUGAUGUGAUUUACAGGAUUUAUUUCAACACUUACACAGCAUAGUCACGUUAAUUUUCCUUGACAACAUUAAACCGUUCAACUCUCUACAGAUGCUCACAGGAAAUCGCACUCAAAUCGCAUCAAAAGACUAUUGAUGACCAACUUACACACCCAAUCCACAAAGAACGUUUGUCAAGCGAAGAUACACAUACCUCAAAGGAUAAACAACAUAGGGUCAUCAAAAAAUACAAGUUGACCUCCUUACUUCCACGGCGACUCGAGAUGUUAUAUUAAUGUCUUAUGUGUGACAUGGCGCAGUCGAAACCAGACCCGAUGAAAGCCGACUAGACGCUAGGGUCUUGAUAACAAGCGUUUGCAUACCUCUCCCUGGUCCAAUCCACGCGAGCAGCAAACCCAGUAACGCUGUCCACAUCAUGCUCUCUCCUCGAUUGCCGGAGUUUCACUGUUUUAGCUGCCCCAGGGCGCCGUACCAAUAUUUACAAGCCGAGGAAUCGAUAAGAUAGAAUGUGUUCUUCGAGUAGGUGUGAGACAGCGCUUGUGUGCUUGGAUACCGCACAAGUCCGUGUUAUAACCGAGAGUGCGACGGCUCUAUCGGUAAUUGCGAUCUGACACUUGCCUCAGAGUAUCAAGCACUUCCGGUGAAAAUGCGACACCCAGAAGAAAACAUCGCGCUCUCGUUACACCUGUUGCUUCUAUAAAUAACGCCAACUUCCUCCACAAAUAACCCAACAUCUAUACCGAGUGGUCAGAAUAAACUUUUGCCUGUCAUAAUUCUCCGUGCACUCUGAGUUAAGGCCAAACACAACAAGCCGCUCACAGCUCUUUGGGGGAGAGACGUCAUCAGAAAUGCGUCAGCAGGACAAAAGCAACAAUAACACGGACGCAAUGUUUAAAUUGCGUUUAAAAAUGCUUCCCACGAAGAUGUGCUUGUGCUGUCGCCUGGGUUAACACUUGAUAAAAGGCAGUUGAAUGAUAAGUGGGAUAGGAAAAAGUGUUAAUACCAGUUAAUGUCGUGCGGAAAUGGAACUCCGCCUAUCGCUGCCAGGGAAACUUAGUGGUGAAAUUACUUAAAUCAUCUUAUAACUACUACCUAAAUACUGUAAUUGGUGGAAGUUUGGAAUCAAACCCUAAAAAAUUCUGGAGCCAUGUCAAACACUCUAGAACAGAAAGCUGCAGUAUAUACGUACUUUGCGUCAAGGUGACUCAAUGUAUAUUUCGGAUAAGGACAAAGCUGAGGCAUUAAAUAAGUAUUUUUAGAGUGUUUUCACACCUUCGUCCUACCACAUGUACUUCAAUCCAAGAUAUCAUAUUUACUCAGGCUGGUGUCCACAAACAACUUGCUGGACUAAAUGUAUCCAAGAGCAGUGGCCCUGAUGGUAUCUCACCCCGUGUGUUACGGGAUCUGGCAAAGGAACUUUCCGGGAUGCUGUGCUUUAUUUUCAACCAAAGCUACAAUGAGGGGACCUUACCAGCUAUUUGGCUAAAUGCGAUGGUCGUCCCAAUACAUAAAAAGUCAGCUAAAGAUCUUCCGGAAAACUAUCGCCAUAUCUCUCUUACCUGUAUCAGCUGCAAGAUCAUGGAACACAUUGUUCUCAGCCAUCUGAACAAACACAUAUCAUCUAACAACAUAUUAUCAAUAUUUCAACAUGGCUUUCGUGCGGGUUUGUCUUGUGAGACCCAACUAGUCCUCACAUUUCAUGACUGGGCAGCCGUGCUAAACCAUCAUGGCCUAGUGGAUGCUCUGCUCCUAGACUACAGUAAAGCUUUUGACAAAGUGUCACACCCAAAGCUUUUGAAAAAGCUCUUUUAUUAUGGCAUCAGGGGAAAAACAUUGGCUUGGAUAUCUGGUUUCCUAAAUAAGAGGUCCCAGUAUGUGGCAGUCAAUGGCACCCACUCUGAUGAGUACAAGUAACAUCAGGAGUACCACAGAGUUCCGUACUGGGACCGACCCUGUUUUUGUUGUAUAUCAACGAUAUCUGUAAAGCAUCAAAUUCUCAAAUCAGGCUAUUUGCAUAUGACACCAUCAUAUACCGCCCAAUCACAUCCAUGGAUGACCAUACUGCACUUCAAGACGAUCUGGAUAAUGUACUUGAUUGGUCAGCAGCUUGGCAGCCUACAAACAAAGACUAGUUGUGACGAGAGGUAGAACUGUAUUAAGCGGUAUUAAAGGUCAAGUGCUUUGUUUAUUUCAUGUUAUCAUAUGUGGUCACAUCUACUGUGGGCCUAUACAAAAGUUGGCCUCGGCUGUCGUUGGUGCCCCUGUCUCAUCAGAUUGAAGUUCUAUGUUAUGUUAUUAUCCAUUUUCUUUUGUUUGAAGUGUAGUACUUAUAGACUUGAGCCAGAGAUAAUAAAAUAAAUGAAAUUAAAUUAAAAAUUGGACUCUCCCUACCUACCCGGAAUUUCUGAGGUAUGAUUUCAAUUCUAUCAAAUGUUUCCAGUCCCACGGCGUCUUGUUCCUGGUGAGCUGACCUGGGGUUACUAUUAAGCUUUGUCAAAAAAGAUAUGUGAUCUAGAAUUCACAAAAAAAAGCGAUUGUUUAAUGAAAAUAAUAAAAAAGUCCCAUUUCGAAACGUGUUUGCCAAAGACAUUAAUGUAACGUACAUUAAAUCGUACACUAGCUUUUUUUAUAUCGUUUAUAUAGAUAUUCCAU
This is a long non-coding RNA of Nematostella vectensis (starlet sea anemone), 2769 nucleotides long. RefSeq lists it as uncharacterized. Lineage: Eukaryota; Metazoa; Cnidaria; Anthozoa; Actiniaria; Edwardsiidae. The transcript is spliced from 3 exons. The record is from RefSeq and is a predicted model, not a curated record.